UGCGUAGGCGGUUUGUUAAGUCUGCUGUGAAAGCCCCGGGCUCAACCUGGGAACUGCAGUGGAUACUGGCAAGCUAGAGUGUGUCAGAGGAUGGUGGAAUUCCCGGUGUAGCGGUGAAAUGCGUAGAGAUCGGGAGGAACAUCAGUGGCGAAGGCGGCCAUCUGGGACAACACUGACGCUGAGGCACGAAAGCGUGGGGAGCAAACA
This 207-nucleotide ribosomal RNA is filed under the name uncultured bacterium. Its description in RNAcentral is "partial 16S ribosomal RNA". It matches the Rfam family "Bacterial small subunit ribosomal RNA", at positions 568 to 774 of the family's 1533-position model. The record is from RNAcentral.